GAUGAACGCUGGCGGCGUGCCUAAUACAUGCAAGUCGAGCGAACGGACGAGAAGCUUGAUUCGCUGAUGUUAGCGGCGGACGGGUGAGUAACACGUGGAUAACCUACCUAUAAGACUGGGAUAACUGCGGGAAACCGUAGCUAAUACCGGAUAAUAUUUUGAACCGCAUGGUUGAAAAGUGAAAGACGGUCUUGCUGUCACUUAUAGAUGGAUCCGCGCUGCAUUAGCUAGUUGGUAAGGUAACGGCUUACCAAGGCAACGAUGCCUAGCCGACCUGAGAGGGUGAUCCGGCACACUGGAACUGAGACACGGUCCAGACUCCUACGGGAGGCAACAGUAGGGAAUCUUGCGCAAUGGGCGAAAGUCUGACGGAGCAACGCCGCGUGAUUGAUGAAGGUCUUCGGAUCGUAGAACUCUGUUAUUAGGGAAGAACAUUUGUGUAAGUACCUAUGCACAUCUUGACGGUACCUAAUCAGAAAGCCACGGCUAACUACGUG
This 497-nucleotide ribosomal RNA is filed under the name uncultured bacterium. RNAcentral's name for it is "partial 16S ribosomal RNA". It matches the Rfam family "Bacterial small subunit ribosomal RNA", at positions 28 to 507 of the family's 1533-position model. The record is from RNAcentral.